This 255-nucleotide ribosomal RNA is filed under the name uncultured bacterium. RNAcentral's name for it is "partial 16S ribosomal RNA". It matches the Rfam family "Bacterial small subunit ribosomal RNA", at positions 524 to 777 of the family's 1533-position model. The record is from RNAcentral.
GACGUAGGGCGCGAGCGUUGUCCGGAUUUAUUGGGCGUAAAGAGCUCGUAGGCGGCUUGUCGCGUCGUUCGUGAAAACCCGGGGCUCAACUCCGGGCUUGCGGGCGAUACGGGCAGGCUAGAGUUCGGUAGGGGAGACUGGAAUUCCUGGUGUAGCGGUGAAAUGCGCAGAUAUCAGGAGGAACACCGGUGGCGAAGGCGGGGUCUCUGGGCCGAUACUGACGCUGAGGAGCGAAAGCGUGGGGAGCGAACAGGA